AUGGUAGUUCAAGUAUUCCA
Molecule: non-coding RNA, 20 nt
Filed under: Arabidopsis thaliana (thale cress)
Lineage: Eukaryota; Viridiplantae; Streptophyta; Magnoliopsida; Brassicales; Brassicaceae
Source: RNAcentral